CAACAAAAGCAGCGGAUGUAGCAGGUUCUUAGGCAAGGCCCCCACUGAUGAGAGCCUCUGGCUGUGGGCCAGGCUCAGGCGGCCUCAGAAAGGCCACAGCACAGGUCCCAGCUGAACCACAAACUGCUGCCCCACCGUCCCCAGCUCACAGCAAAACAGAAACUUGAAGCAGACACUGCUCCCCAAAAGCAGUGCCCCAAAAGAUGCUGGGGCAGGCACCAUGGGCAAGGCUGUCUCCUUCUGGCCCUGCCAUCCUGCUGCUGGCACUCUGUGGCAGCAUUACCUCCCUGAACAUCUGCAGCUCCCCAGGUACUCGUGAGUCCUUCCCUCCCAGACCCAGGGCACCUGGAAGCCCAACCACUGUGAGCUCUGCCCUAAGGCAGCCCUUCACUGCUGUGUCUCCUCCAGGGGAUCUCCGAGCUCCUGCUCUCCAAAUGAACUCAACUUCUGCUCAGCCAGGUACCACAGUUGUGCUCCAGUGUAUUCUCCCUGUGGUGUCACCCGUAAUACGAAUCAUCAUCUGCAAGGAUGGGAAGGAGCAGUACAGCCAGAAAGCCCAGCAAGGGCAGCUGAACUACUCCGUGGUCCUGAACAUCACGUCAAGAAGCGCAGGAAGAUAUACCUGUGGGUACCAGGAGUGGAAUGAGAUGAAACACAUGAGGAGCUCUGCCCUCAGUGCUGGCCGCAACCUGGAUGUCCCUGGUGAGUCACGGCCCAGGGCUGGAGGGGUGUUAAGGGAAAGAGGCACUUGCCACCACAUGGCUGUGCUGAGGCUGGAGCUGUGUGCUGCAGCAGGCUCUGGGGUGGUUCCCCCAUGGGAGUGUUCCCUCUCCUCCAAGGCAGCCCCUAGACAGAGAGAGCUGCUCUCAGGGGGUUCCCCUGUCCCUGCAGCACCACCUCUGCUGCAGACAUGGGGCUGUGCAGGGCCCAGGUACAGAGAGCAAGGUCUGGGGAUGUGGAUGAAUGCUGGAUGAGCCAGGGAUGCUCCAAGGUCUGCGCUGUGCAUUGAUGAGCCUAUGGCAGGGCAAGUGGGAUGACUGUCACGAGCAGGCCAAGGACACAGCAGUGAGGACAUGGCAAGGACACAGCAGCAGGGUCAUGGGCACAAGCGUGUGGGUGCCCCAGCUCUCACUCCCUCUAAACAAAACCCUCUGUGCCCCAAGUUGCAGGUGCUGGCGUGACCACCCAGGACAUCUGCAGCUCCCCAGGUGAGGUUGAGCGUGGGGAUGGGUGACUGAAGAGAGGUGUGUGUGGGGUGGCGAUGGCAAGGGAGAGGGAAUUUGUUCUCUGGGUGUGAGCUCCUGGGAAGGAAUCACUUCCCUGCAUGGAACACAAAGCAUUUUGUGUCCAGUUCUGGGAUUCCCUGUACAAGAGGGGCAUAGAACUACUGGAGAGAGUCCAGAGGAGGGCUGCAAAGAUGAUCAGAGGACUGGAGCCAAGAGAACAGAGCCUGUUUAGCCUGGAAAAGAGGAGACUGAGGGGAGACCUCAUCCAUGUCUAUAAAUAUCUGAGGGUAGGUUUUUGAGAAAAUGGAGUUGGUCUCUUUUCGAUUGUGCCGAGGGAAAUGGCAAGAGGCAACGGGACCAAACUGAAGCACAGAAAGUUCCAUCUGAAUAUGAGGGGCAUUUGUUUACUGGGAGGGUGACAGAGCACUGGAACAGGCUGCCCAGAGACGCUGUGGAGUCUCCUCUGCAGAUAUUCCAAAUCCACCUGGAUGCCAUCCUGUGCAGUGUGUCCUUACUGAUCCUGCUCAGCAGAAGGUUGGACCAGAAUCACAGAAAGAUGAGAGUGGUGGUGCCAUAUUUAAUCAGCAGGCACAUCUUGGCCAAGAUAUACUUAACCACUCAUGAGGGAAUUUAGACAGCACAUCCAUGGGAG
RNAcentral lists this long non-coding RNA (1878 nucleotides) under Anas platyrhynchos platyrhynchos (common mallard). RNAcentral describes it as "lncRNA (ENSAPLG00000021747.1)". Lineage: Eukaryota; Metazoa; Chordata; Aves; Anseriformes; Anatidae. The record is from RNAcentral.